This 470-nucleotide ribosomal RNA is filed under the name uncultured eukaryote. RNAcentral's name for it is "eukaryotic LSU rRNA". It matches the Rfam family "Eukaryotic large subunit ribosomal RNA", at positions 1126 to 1589 of the family's 3401-position model. The record is from RNAcentral.
GUGGGCUGGUUUUUGGUAAGCAGAACGGGCGAUUCGGGAUGAACCGGAAGCGGGGAGAAAGGGCCCGAGAUUGCGUCGACGCGGAUCCCGAAAAGGGCGUCGAUCCGUCGCGACAGCGGGACGGUGGUCAUGGAAGUCGAAAAUCCGCUAAGAAGCGUGUAAAAAACGUACCCGCCCAACGGAUCGGCCCCGAAAAUUGAUGGCGCUCGAACGCAACCCUCGAACCCCGCCCGACGGAGGCUAGGGGAGGCCCCGUCGAGUAGGCGGACGCGCGGGUCGGCUUCGACGCUCCCGCGCGAGCGGGGGCGGGAGCGGCCCGUGGUGCAGAUCUUGGUGGUAGUAGCGAUCACCCAGGCGAGAACCCCUGAGGGCCGAAGUGGAGAAGGGGUUUCUCGAGAACGGCACUCGCUCGAGAGUUAGUCGAUCCUAAGCUGCCGGCGGCAGCCACGAAACGGUCGAUCGGGCGCGGA